CAGUCGCCACGGGAAUACAGAGGGUGCGAGCGUUAAUCGGAUUUACUGGGCGUGAAGCGUGCGUAGGCGGCUAAUUGAGUCGGAUGUGAAAUCCCCGAGCUUAACUUGGGAAUUGCAUUCGAUACUGGUUAGCUAGAGUGUGGGAGAGGAUGGUAGAAUUCCAGGUGUAGCGGUGAAAUGCGUAGAGAUCUGGAGGAAUACCGAUGGCGAAGGCAGCCAUCUGGCCUAACACUGACGCUGAGGUACGAAAGCAUGGGGAGCAAACAGGAUUAGAUACCCCAGUAGUCCCUGUCUCUUAUAC
This 301-nucleotide ribosomal RNA is filed under the name uncultured bacterium. RNAcentral describes it as "partial 16S ribosomal RNA". It matches the Rfam family "Bacterial small subunit ribosomal RNA", at positions 509 to 807 of the family's 1533-position model. The record is from RNAcentral.